AGCGAACGCUGGCGGCAGGCUUAACACAUGCAAGUCGAGCGGGCAUCCUUGUGGUGUCAGCGGCAGACGGGUGAGUAACGCGUGGGAACGUGCCCUUCGGUUCGGAAUAACUCAGGGAAACUUGAGCUAAUACCGGAUACGUGCGAGAGCAGAAAGGUUUAUCUGCCGAAGGAUCGGCCCGCGUCUGAUUAGCUAGUUGGUGAGGUUAUGGCUCACCAAGGCGACGAUCAGUAGCUGGUCUGAGAGGAUGAUCAGCCACACUGGGACUGAGACACGGCCCAGACUCCUACGGGAGGCAGCAGGGGGGAAUAUGGGACAAUGGGGCAACCCUGAUCCAGCCAUGCCGCGUGAGUGAUGACGGCCUUAGGGUUGUAAAGCUCUUUUCUCCGGGACGAUAAUGACGGUACCGGAGGAAUAAGCCCCGGCUAACUUCGUG
Molecule: ribosomal RNA, 436 nt
Filed under: uncultured bacterium
Lineage: Bacteria
Description: partial 16S ribosomal RNA
Rfam family: Bacterial small subunit ribosomal RNA
Source: RNAcentral